CGGAGGUGGCAAGCGUUACUCGGAAUUAUUGGGUGUAAAGGGCAAGUAGGCGGUCUAAUAAGUGGGUGGUGAAAUACUCUGGCUCAGUCAGAGAACUGCCUUCCAAGCUGUUAGACUUGAGUGUGACAGGGGGAAAUGGAAUUCUAGGUGUAAGGGUGAAAUCUGUAGAUAUCUAGAAGAACACCAGCGGCGAAGGCGAUUUCCUGGGUCACAACUGACGCUAAAUUGCGAAAGCUAGGGGAGCAAACAGAAUUAGAUACUCUGGUAGUCCUAGCCGUAAACGAUGAGCACUAGAUGUCAGCUCCUUUAGGAGUUGGUGUCGCAGCUAACGCAUUAAGUGCUCCACCUGGGGACUACGGUCGCAAGGCUA
This 370-nucleotide ribosomal RNA is filed under the name uncultured organism. RNAcentral's name for it is "bacterial SSU rRNA". It matches the Rfam family "Bacterial small subunit ribosomal RNA", at positions 526 to 896 of the family's 1533-position model. The record is from RNAcentral.